GCUCAGGACGAACGCUGGCGGCGUGCCUAAUACAUGCAAGUCGAACGCACGAAGUUGAAGAGCUUGCUCUUUAACCAAGUGAGUGGCGGACGGGUGAGUAACACGUGGGUAACCUGCCCAUUAGAGGGGGAUAACAUUCGGAAACGGAUGCUAAUACCGCAUAGUUUCAGGAAUCGCAUGAUUCUUGAAGGAAAGGUGGCUUCGGCUACCACUAAUGGAUGGACCCGCGGCGUAUUAGCUAGUUGGUGAGGUAAUGGCUCACCAAGGCAAUGAUACGUAGCCGACCUGAGAGGGUGAUCGGCCACACUGGGACUGAGACACGGCCCAGACUCCUACGGGAGGCAGCAGUAGGGAAUCUUCCGCAAUGGACGAAAGUCUGACGGAGCAACGCCGCGUGAGUGAAGAAGGUUUUCGGAUCGUAAAACUCUGUUGUUAAAGAAGAACCAAGGAUGAGAGUAACUGCUCAUCCCUGACGUAUUACCAGC
This 485-nucleotide ribosomal RNA is filed under the name Carnobacterium maltaromaticum. RNAcentral's name for it is "bacterial SSU rRNA". It matches the Rfam family "Bacterial small subunit ribosomal RNA", at positions 22 to 494 of the family's 1533-position model. The record is from RNAcentral. Lineage: Bacteria; Bacillati; Bacillota; Bacilli; Lactobacillales; Carnobacteriaceae.